Molecule: transfer RNA, 68 nt
Filed under: Astalotermes cf. qietus RDCT073
Lineage: Eukaryota; Metazoa; Arthropoda; Insecta; Blattodea; Termitidae
Also listed under: 2 other names
Description: tRNA-Trp
Source: RNAcentral
AAGGCCUUAAGUUAAACUUAAACUAAUAACCUUCAAAGCUAUAAAUAAAGGGUGUCCUUUAGGCCUUG